Molecule: ribosomal RNA, 235 nt
Filed under: uncultured Lactobacillus sp.
Lineage: Bacteria; Bacillati; Bacillota; Bacilli; Lactobacillales; Lactobacillaceae
Description: partial 16S ribosomal RNA
Rfam family: Bacterial small subunit ribosomal RNA
Source: RNAcentral
UGCCCAAGAGAUCGGGAUAACACCUGGAAACAGAUGCUAAUACCGGAUAAUAACAGAUGAUGCCUAUCAACUGUUUAAAAGAUGGUUCUGCUAUCACUCUUGGAUGGACCUGCGGUGCAUUAGCUAGUUGGUAGGGUAACGGCCUACCAAGGCGAUGAUGCAUAGCCGAGUUGAGAGACUGAUCGGCCACAUUGGGACUGAGACACGGCCCAAACUCCUACGGGAGGCAGCAGNG